GACGAACGCUGGCGGCGUGCUUAACACAUGCAAGUCGAACGAGAGCGUAGAGACAGCUUGCUUUUUCUACAAUCUAGUGGCAAACGGGUGAGUAACGCGUAAACAACCUGCAAUACGGAUGGGGACACCAGAUGGAAACGGCUGCUAAUACCGAAUAUGUUCCCAAAGUCGCACGACUAUCGGAAGAAAGCAUGGCCUCUAUUUAUAAUCUAUCGCCGGUGCAGGGGUUUGCGGCUGAUUUGCUAGUUGGCGGGGUAAACGGCUCACAAGGCGACGAUCAGUAACCCGUCUGAGAGGAGUGAUGGGCACAAUGGAACCGAAGCACGGGCCAGACUCCUACGGGGGGCAGCAGGGGGGGAAUUUCCGGAAUGGGGGAAAGGCUUACGGGGGAACGCCGCGGUAGGGGAGGCGGCCUUCGGGUUGGAAAGAUCUGUUAUACGGGACAGAUAAUCUUGUUGUUAAUACCCAUGAAAAUUGACGGUACCGUAAGAGAAAGCCACGGCUAACUACGUG
RNAcentral lists this ribosomal RNA (513 nucleotides) under uncultured bacterium. Its description in RNAcentral is "partial 16S ribosomal RNA". It matches the Rfam family "Bacterial small subunit ribosomal RNA", at positions 28 to 507 of the family's 1533-position model. The record is from RNAcentral.